AAAACUUUCAACAACGGAUCCCUUGGUUCUGGCAUCGAUGAAAGAACGCAGCGAAAAUGCGAUAAGUAAUGUGAAUUGCAGAAUUCAGUGAAUCAUCGAAUCUUUGAACGCACAUUGCGCCCUCUGGUAUUCCGGAGGGCAUGCCUGUUCGAGCGUCAUUUC
This 162-nucleotide ribosomal RNA is filed under the name fungal endophyte MS3 IS109. RNAcentral describes it as "5.8S ribosomal RNA". It matches the Rfam family "5.8S ribosomal RNA". Rfam says of the family: 5.8S ribosomal RNA (5.8S rRNA) is a component of the large subunit of the eukaryotic ribosome. The record is from RNAcentral. Lineage: Eukaryota; Fungi; Ascomycota.